Molecule: ribosomal RNA, 454 nt
Filed under: uncultured bacterium
Lineage: Bacteria
Description: bacterial SSU rRNA
Rfam family: Bacterial small subunit ribosomal RNA
Source: RNAcentral
UACGGAAGGCAGCAGUGGGGAAUAUUGCACAAUGGGCGAAAGCCUGAUGCAGCUAUGCCGCGUGUAUGAAGAAGGCCUUAGGGUUGUAAAGUACUUUCAGCAGGGAGGAAAGAAAUAAAACUAAUAAUUUUAUUUUGUGACGUUACCUGAAGAAGAAGCACCGGCUAACUCCGUGCCAGCAGCCGCGGUAAUACGGAGGGUGCAAGCGUUAAUCAGAAUUACUGGGCGUAAAGAGCGCGUAGGUGGUUUUUUUAAGUCAGAUGUGAAAUCCCUAGGCUUAACCUAGGAACUGCAUUUUGAAACUGAAAACUAGAGUAUCGUAGAGGGAGGUAGAAUUCUAGGUGUAGCGGUGAAAUGCGUAGAUAUCUGGAGGAUACCUGUGGCGAAAGCGGCCUCUAAACGAAUACUGACACUGAGGUGCGAAAGCGUGGGGAGCAAACAGGGAUUAGAUACC